GAUGAACGCUGGCGGCGUGCCUAAUACAUGCAAUUCGACCGACAGCCGAGGGGCUUGCUCCUCUGGCGUUCGCCGCGGACGGGUGCGUUACACUUGGAUAACCUUACCUUAAGACUUGGGUUACUUCGGGCAAACGGAGCUUAUUCCGGAAAAAUUUAUUGACCUCCUGGGUCCAUUGUUAAAAACGGGUUUUCUGUUCCUUAAAGACGGAUCCGCGCCGCAUUAGCUAGUUGGUAAGGUAACGGCUUACCAAGGCAACGAUGCGUAGCCGACCUGAGAGGGUGAUCGGCCACACUGGAACUGAGACACGGUCCAGACUCCUACGGGAGGCAGCAGUAGGGAAUCUUCCGCAAUGGGCGAAAGCUUGACGGAGCAACGCCGCGUGAGUGAUGAAGGUCUUCGGAUCGUAAAACUCUGUUAUUAGGGAAGAACAAAUGUGUAAGUAACUAUGCACGUCUUGACGGUACCUAAUCAGAAAGCCACGGCUAACUACGUG
Molecule: ribosomal RNA, 496 nt
Filed under: uncultured bacterium
Lineage: Bacteria
Description: partial 16S ribosomal RNA
Rfam family: Bacterial small subunit ribosomal RNA
Source: RNAcentral